GACGAACGCUGGCGGCGUGCUUAACACAUGCAAGUCGAACGAUGAAGCUGGAGCUUGCUCCAGCGGAUUAGUGGCGAACGGGUGAGUAAUGCAUCGGAACGUACCCAGUCGUGGGGGAUAACGUAGCGAAAGUUACGCUAAUACCGCAUACGAUCUGAGGAUGAAAGCGGGGGACCUUCGGGCCUCGCGCGAUUGGAGCGGCCGAUGUCGGAUUAGCUAGUUGGUGAGGUAAAGGCUCACCAAGGCGACGAUCCGUAGCUGGUCUGAGAGGACGACCAGCCACACUGGGACUGAGACACGGCCCAGACUCCUACGGGAGGCAGCAGUGGGGAAUUUUGGACAAUGGGCGAAAGCCUGAUCCAGCCAUGCCGCGUGAGUGAAGAAGGCCUUCGGGUUGUAAAGCUCUUUCAGACGGAAAGAAAUCUCUCGGGUGAAUAUCCCGGGAGGAUGACGGUACCGUAAGAAGAAGCACCGGCUAACUACGUGCCAGCCGCCGCUGUAA
Molecule: ribosomal RNA, 502 nt
Filed under: uncultured bacterium
Lineage: Bacteria
Description: partial 16S ribosomal RNA
Rfam family: Bacterial small subunit ribosomal RNA
Source: RNAcentral